CUAGGCGGAGGAAAAGAAACUAACAAGGAUUCCCUCAGUAGCGGCGAGCGAACAGGGAGGAGCCCAGCACGGAAUCCCGCGCGGUGACGCGCAGGGAGAUGUCGUGUGCGGGAGGCCCCACGACCCCGGGGCGCGGUUCAGCGAGUCCAAGUCUCCCUUGAACGGGGCCACAGCCCGCAGAGGGUGCCAGGCCCGUAGGACCGCUGCCGCUCCCGGGUGGGGGCUCUCCUCAGAGUCGUGUUCCUUGAGAGUGGAGCACUAAGGGGGUGGUAAACUCCAUCUAAGGCUAAAUAUGACCACGAGACCGAUAGCGAACAAGUACCGUGAGGGAAAGUUGAAAAGAACUUUGAAGAGAGAGUUCAAUNNNNNNNNNNNNNNNNNNNNNNNAAACGGGAGAGACCCGGAAUUCCGAGAGGGGAGAUUCAGCCCCGUCCGCGUGGAGCCGGCCCCCGGGCGGUUGCUCCCGGAUGCCCCCGGCCGCCGGUCGUGCCGCAAGGCGCGCGCCGGUGCGAGUCGGGUGCACCGGCCGCCCGGGGUCUAAAGCGGUGGCCGCGGCGGGGUGCAUUUCUAGCCCCUGGUAGGACGUCGCGACCCGUCGGGUUUUUAAUUGAGGCGGCCUAAGGCCCGGGACAGAGACCGGGGGUGCUUCCGCACGAGGCGCGGGACAAAGGCGCCCCUGGACCCCGGUUAAAGCCCGGCCGCCCCCCGACGGUCAAACUUCUGAGAGGAUAAAGGCCCGCUUCCCUCGCUCGCUCGCCCGCUCGCUCGCGGGUGGGUUGGCGGGCGGGGUUCGCGAGCGUCCGGGCCCGUCGGGGCAAGCUCUCCGGGGUGUAAAGCCGGUGUGCCGUGGCUCUCGCCACGACCCCGGCCCCCGGCAGGCUGCUGGCCCCUGGUGCCCUCGGACAGCUUUCGGCCACUCCAGUCAGCGGCGCUUCAGCUUCGGGUGCUCUCCCGACNNNNNNNNNNNNNNNGACCAAGGAGUCUAACAUGUGCGCGAGUCAAUGGGAUCUGACUAAACCCAGAGGCGCAGUGAAAGCGUGUGGCGCGCCGCUAAGGGAAGACGGCCGGUCGCUUCUGAACGGGGUGGCCGGUCAGCACUCCCGGGGCGCCUCGGCUCCGGCCGCAGGCGCACCCGGAGCGCACACGUUGGGACCCGAAAGAUGGUGAAYUAUGCCCGGCCAGGACGAAGUCAGGGGAAACCCUGAUGGAGGUCCGCAGCGAUUCUGACGUGCAAAUCGAUCGUCAGAGCUAGGUAUAGGGGCGAAAGACUAAUCGAACCAUCUANNNNNNNNNNNNNNNNNNNNNNNNNNNNNNNNNNNNNNGCGCCGAGUUGGUGUGGGCCAGUCUCAUCCGGUAAAGCGAAUGAUUAGAGGCCUUGGGGCCGAAACGACCUCAACCUAUUCUCAAACUUUAAAUGGGUGAGAUCUCCGGCUUGCUUGAGCGAAGCCGAGAGAAGAAGGAUGAUGGUGCCAAGUGGGCCAAUUUUGGUAAGCAGAACUGGCGCUGUGGGAUGAACCAAACGCCGGGUUAAGGCGCCUAAACCGGAGCUCAUGGGAGACCAUGAAAGGCGUUGGUUGCUUAAGACAGCAGGACGGUGGCCAUGGAAGUCGGAAUCCGCUAAGGAGUGUGUAACAACUCACCUGCCGAAGCAACUAGCCCUGAAAAUGGAUGGCGCUAAAGCUCCGUGCCCAUACCCGGCCGCCGGAAGGCAGGGCUGCGAUGCUGAAGCCCCGGCGAGUAGGAGGGCGCGGCGGUGAGCGCGGAAGGGUCCGGGCGUGAGCCCGCCUGGAGCCGCCGCCGGUGCAGAUCUUGGUGGUAGUAGCAAAUACUCGAGAGAGGGCCUUGAGGGCUGAUGUGGAGAAGGGUUUCGUGUGAACAGCCGUUGCACACGAGUCAGUCGAUCCUAAGCCCUAGGAGAGAUCCGAUGCCGAUGAGGCGGGGUGACUGCCCGCCCGUCGAGGGCGAAAGGGAAUCCGGUUCCUAUUCCGGAACCCGGCAGCGGAACCGAAACGUCGGGCCCUCACAAGAGAAGCUCGUCGGGGUAACCCAAAGGGACCCGGAGACGCCGUCGGGAGACCCGGGCAGAGUUUUCUGUUCUGCAUAAGCGUUCGAGUUCCCUGGAAUCCUCUAGCAGGGAGAUAGGGUUUGGAACGCGAAGAGCACCGCAGUUGCGGCGGUGUCCGGGUCGUCCCCUCGGACCUUGAAAAUCCGGGAGAGGGCUACGCGGAGGUGUCGCGCCGGCUCGUACCCAUAUCCGCAGCAGGUCUCCAAGGUGAGAGCCUCUAGUCGAUAGACUA
RNAcentral lists this ribosomal RNA (2297 nucleotides) under Incisitermes tabogae. Its description in RNAcentral is "partial 28S ribosomal RNA". It matches the Rfam family "Eukaryotic large subunit ribosomal RNA", at positions 46 to 1898 of the family's 3401-position model. The record is from RNAcentral. Lineage: Eukaryota; Metazoa; Arthropoda; Insecta; Blattodea; Kalotermitidae.